RNAcentral lists this long non-coding RNA (1244 nucleotides) under Triticum aestivum (bread wheat). RNAcentral's name for it is "long non-coding RNA (TAES_LNC007496)". The record is from RNAcentral. Lineage: Eukaryota; Viridiplantae; Streptophyta; Magnoliopsida; Poales; Poaceae.
GCGGUGUCUUAUCUGCUUCCAUUGAUUUCGUGAUGCUCCUCCUUUUGCUGUGGUGUUCUCCGAGCCUUGUGCCUCCCUUCUUCCCACAACGAGGUUUGCUUGCCAGUAUCCUUUCACCAUGUCUUCAUUUCGCUGCAUUUCUGUAGGAUCCUGCUAGAUCUGGCUUAAAGGUGUGCUUGUUCCCGUGUGUAGUGGUGGAUCCUAGCUCUUUUAGGUUGUUUGUGGUGGUUCCUAGAUGUCUGAUUUUUGUUGCAGAUGGAGCAACAUAUAGUAGAUGUAGAUGCAGCAACACCUGAUUCAAUAUAGUUGUAGGGUUUGGUUCCCUUAUGCCUAUUUUUUAUUUAUGCUCCCGAAUGUUUCUGUAGUUGUUCAUGUGCCCCUAUAUGUGUACAACCCCUAGAUGUGUGGAUGUAAAUGUUGAUUUAGCUCGUAGAUGUUUCGACUGUAUGUGUGUACGAUGCCAGUUGUUUUUGUCAGUGAGUUGGGCUGUAACUUUGGGCGAAAUCGGAGUGAUUGGGACUGAAUUUUACCAGUUAAGCGUCAGUGAUUCUGGACUGUAGUUUCAAGUUUUAUCAGUCCAUCUUACUCUGUAAUUUUUGAGUGCUUUUGUGUCUGUCUUUGCAACUUCAGUGAUGUGUAAGUUUCAGUGAUCUACUCUGUAAUAUUUGAGUGCUUUUGUCUCUGGCUUUGUAACUUCAGUAAUGUGUAAGUUUGAGUGAUCUACUCUAAAUUUUCCACUUGUUUUCCAGCACCUAUUACACUCAGUAUCAGUGUAACUACAGUCUGAAUUGUAUUGUGAAUUAACUCUGGGCUGCAAGUUUGUAUGUCCCUUUUUAUCCUUUGCUAGCUUUUGUUGUACAUCCCUUCGUUGUCGUAGCUAGUGCGUUCUGCUAGCAAAUUUCAGCUCUGUUCUUUGUGUUUCUGUGAAACAGAAUGUCCUUUUCAUUUUCGGCUUUGUAAAUGUUUGAUUGCUCUAUCUGAAAUCCCUGUUUUCUUAGUGGAUUUAUAGUGUGUUUUCUGAGUGUUCUACACUGUAAUUCUUAGUGGAUUUACAGUGUAAUUUCUUAGCGGAUUUACACUGUAAUUCCUUAGCGAAUUUACACCGUAAUUUUAGGUGGAUUUUUUUACUAGAUUUACACUGUAAUUUUCAGUGAAUUUACACUGUAUUUUUAGUGGAUUUAUACUGUAAUUUGCAAUGGAUCUACACUGUAAUUCUUAGUGGAUUUACUCUGUAGUUUUCAGUU